UACAGAGGGUGCGAGCGUUAAUCGGAAUUACUGGGCGUAAAGCGUGCGUAGACGGUUAUUUAAGUCGGAUGUGAAAGCCCCGGGCUCAACCUGGGAAUUGCAUUCGAGACUGAAUAGCUAGGGUGCGGUAGAGGGAAGCGGAAUUUCCGGUGUAGCGGUGAAAUGCGUAGAUAUCGGAAGGAACAUCAGUGGUGAAAGCGGCUUCCUGGACCAGCACCGACGUUCAGGCACGAAAGCGUGGGGAGCAAACAGG
RNAcentral lists this ribosomal RNA (253 nucleotides) under uncultured bacterium. RNAcentral describes it as "partial 16S ribosomal RNA". It matches the Rfam family "Bacterial small subunit ribosomal RNA", at positions 524 to 776 of the family's 1533-position model. The record is from RNAcentral.